This is a long non-coding RNA of Mus musculus (house mouse), 3236 nucleotides long. RefSeq annotates it as barrier to autointegration factor 2, opposite strand. The record is from RefSeq and is a predicted model, not a curated record. NCBI's taxonomy places the organism in Eukaryota, Metazoa, Chordata, Mammalia, Rodentia, Muridae. The transcript is spliced from 5 exons.
CGGAAUGGUUGCCAACUCUCUCAAGAGAGUGAUCCCAGAGACUGAGGCAGAAGCCACGGUGUCUUUUAUGAGCAGGACCCUUUCUGCCGUUCCUACAACAGAUUAUACAGGCAAGCUCCAUUCAGCAUAGGAGGGAACGACCAUGGGUCCCACUUCCAGGAGGUAUGGUGUACCCCUGAAGGCUGGCAGUCUGCAGAGCAGCGGAAACGGGCUGUCACGUGGCUCGAGGAUCGGGAUGAACAGGAGCUGGCUGUACUGACUGACUGAAAUCUGCUCCGGCCAGGUAGGCCAAGUUCUGUCUCCAGUUAAGGGGUGGAGCGAGCCUGUCUUUCCUCCACGAUGCCCAUGUAGCUUCUGCCCACUCUGGCAGGGAAUGGAGGCCUCCUUUGGGCACUGCUGGAUCCUGUUACACUGUCACCGAGAAAGACAAGAACUGUGGGGCUUGUGGCAGGAGACAAUGGCCUCCAUUGAGGAAUUAUGACGCAAAGGAACCAGCAAGCCCACAGCCACCAUUCAGGAAACAAUAGGUGUUUCAAGAGGACCCAGGGGAUGCUCCCAGGAGAGGCAAAGAUGCACAUCACCAGGCCUGGCAUUCCCUCCCCUCUCUCAGGUCUCCGACACUGUGCCAAGAGAAAAAUCUCUCCUGGAUCUGUCUGCAAAGGGGCGGAAGACAGGCUAAGAGACAAUAAAAGCUGCAGGGCAAACGGAGCUGGGAGGACAUGAGGUUGUCUGGGCCAACAACUGAAGAGUAUCACUUGACUUGCAUGAGGUAAAGGCGGGGAGUAUUGGCUUAGUUCCAUCAGACUGCCAACAGUGUGGGCCACAUCAGGAGACAAGAACAACUCAGCAUGCAUUACUACACAGGCAAUCUUUACCGAGGGACUGCUCCCAGCUGAGUGGGACCCAAGAGUCCUGGGACCCUCUUCCUGAAGGAUGACUCAUGGAUGACUUCCAAUACCUGGUCAGGAAGGAAGCCCGCAGAGAUCACUGCAUGGAGCCUCCACUGGACCUGUGUUGAGGGAGGAAGAAAUGGGGUGUGUGUGGUGGAUAACACUCUCCUCCACUUCACCUCAUAUCAUGUCUCCUAUUGGUUGGAUCCAGUCCCAGAAGGAGGACUGGGAAGCUAGGCUCUGUCCCCUGGAAUUGAUGGCAUAGUAUCUGUCAGCCAUGUCUCCCUCCUCCUCUGGCCCUUUCCUCUCACCCUUUCCCUUGCAUGGGAUCUACUCCCUUCUUUGCCCCAUAAGGUGAGAUUGAGUAGAGGAGAAUGGUGACAGAGCCCCCAGAACGGUUUACAGUGCCUGAGUCACUGCCGCCUUAUACUCAACAGGCACUUGACAUACGUUUGCUGAAGGAAGUCAAAGAGGAGAGCCCAGACAGACAGAAGAUGUGGAAUGAUGUGCUGCCCCAAAGCAGACUCUAGGAUUGCUACUUUCUUGACUUUCACAAGCAAGGAAGGAAGCGGGAAGAGGGAGAGGAGAAACCGGUGGCUUCUCCAACCCCAGAGGGAGCCAGUCCACACCGUAACUCCUCAGGAACCUAACUGGAAACAGAAGAAUAAAAGCCGGAAUGAUCUGAGGAAGGAUAGGAGCCUCAAUGUGAGGGCUCCUCUGGGCUGUCAACUUGACUACAUCUGGAAUCAACUAAAACCCAAGUAGCUUGCCAUACUUGUGGAGGAAGUUUUAGAUCUUUUGAGGCAGGCUGUGCCACCUUAAAUCUGGAUCAUUUGCAGAUCAUUGAAGGCCUACUCUAAAUGUGAGCCACACCUUCUGUGGCAGCCCACAGAAGAGGGCAUGGAAGAAGGACGGGUUGCUUUUCGCCGGCUUGUCCUUACUCCUGCUGGCAAGUUCAUCUGUACUACUGCUGCUGCUGAGGCAUUCCUUUGCUGGGGUUAGAACCUACUUCUUUGGGAUUCCAAUGUAGACUGAAGACCAGCUGAGACACUCAGCCUUGUAGAAUGAACAACUACCAUAUUCUCUCUUGGGAGACAAGUCAUUGUCAGACUAGUCAGACCACAGCCUGUAAACUCCUCUAAUAAAGCACACAACACACACACACACACACACACACACACACACACACACACUCAUUCUAUAUGUUCUGUUCCUCUAGAGAACCCUGAUUAGUACAACCAUUCAUUCUAACUAGAGUCUGACAUGUGCAUCCCUGCAUUCGUAUCUGUUUUCUGGACUAGUUCUGAUUUACAGAUGGUGAACCUGGAGGCGGAGCUCAGCUCUGCCCACUUCCAAGCCCACGGCUCUCUGCGGACACUACCCUGCACUCCGUCUCUCCCCAUGAUUAUCUCCAGAUCCUCAGUUCUACUGCAUUCUGUCUCUCCUGAUUAUCUCCAGACCUGCGGUCCUGUUAGUCAGCAGCUGCCUGCAGAUGGGAUUGCCGGGUUACUAAGACAGUAAAGAAAGGGCGAGGCGAGCCUUCUGUCUGUUUAAAAUCCUUGCAGCCCUUUGCUUGCUGUUUUGAAAUGGUCUUGGAUGUGGUGUUUGGGAGGGGACCCAAAUGUCUGGCAGGAACUUUUCAGUCUCUGGAAUUGGAGGGACCACCAGACUUCCAGCUGCAGGGGAUGGUCUGCCCAGUAACAGUGUGAAAAUGCCCAAAGGAAGGGCUCUCCAUUUCUCCUCGGGUGUGCCUAAAGGGACAUCACCUCCCCUUAGUUUCAAGACCUCGAAUCAGACAACACGGGCUCCUACCCACCAGUCACCGGCCAGGAGAGAGAUCAGCACAGGGUGGUGAGCUCAGCCUCCCUGAAGCUCAGCCAAUGACAGCUUCCUGACAGGCGAAGAGAAGAGCAGAAGCUGGGAAGUCAAACAACAGCAUCGUCUAACGGUCCAGCACAGACAAGGCUCCUUUCAAAGCUUGUGCAGAGACGACCUGGAGGUUUGUUGAAGACAUCAGUCCUGACCCCACAGGCCUGGGAUGGACAUUUGGUCCUAUGUUUUUGACAAACUCCACAGAGAGGGCAGGAUGGCUGGCCAAACAGGUACAUCGAGCAAAUCACCACACAAUAUCAUGUAUUCCUUUUAUGUUAUUACGUAAAAUUUGACAUCUUGGCCUGGUGAGAUGGCUCAGAGGGGCGAAAGACACUUACCACCAAGCCUGAUGGCCUAAGUGCCUUCUACAUAGCAGGAGGAAAGGAGUGACCUCUGUGACUUCUUCGCUGGCCUCCACAUGUGCUUUUGUGACGUGUAUGCCCCAACCUCAGUGUAAUAAACAGUGUUUUUAAA